GAACGGGCAUAGCAAUAUGUCAGUGGCAGACGGGUGAGUAACGCGUGGGAACGUACCUUUUGGUUCGGAACAACACAGGGAAACUUGUGCUAAUACCGGAUAAGCCCUUACGGGGAAAGAUUUAUCGCCGAAAGAUCGGCCCGCGUCUGAUUAGCUAGUUGGUAGGGUAAUGGCCUACCAAGGCGACGAUCAGUAGCUGGUCUGAGAGGAUGAUCAGCCACAUUGGGACUGAGACACGGCCCAAACUCCUACGGGAGGCAGCAGUGGGGAAUAUUGGACAAUGGGCGAAAGCCUGAUCCAGCCAUGCCGCGUGAGUGAUGAAGGCCCUAGGGUUGUAAAGCUCUUUUGUGCGGGAAGAUAAUGACGGUACCGCAAGAAUAAGCCCCGGCUAACUUCGUG
This 399-nucleotide ribosomal RNA is filed under the name uncultured bacterium. RNAcentral's name for it is "bacterial SSU rRNA". It matches the Rfam family "Bacterial small subunit ribosomal RNA", at positions 64 to 507 of the family's 1533-position model. The record is from RNAcentral.